Molecule: ribosomal RNA, 652 nt
Filed under: Salmonella enterica subsp. enterica serovar Kentucky
Lineage: Bacteria; Pseudomonadati; Pseudomonadota; Gammaproteobacteria; Enterobacterales; Enterobacteriaceae
Description: partial 23S ribosomal RNA
Rfam family: Bacterial large subunit ribosomal RNA
Source: RNAcentral
UGUUUCGGCUAGGGGGCCAUCCCGGCUUACCAACCCGAUGCAAACUGCGAAUACCGGAGAAUGUUAUCACGGGAGACACACGGCGGGUGCUAACGUCCGUCGUGAAGAGGGAAACAACCCAGACCGCCAGCUAAGGUCCCAAAGUCAUGGUUAAGUGGGAAACGAUGUGGGAAGGCCCAGACAGCCAGGAUGUUGGCUUAGAAGCAGCCAUCAUUUAAAGAAAGCGUAAUAGCUCACUGGUCGAGUCGGCCUGCGCGGAAGAUGUAACGGGGCUAAACCAUGCACCGAAGCUGCGGCAGCGACACUGUGUGUUGUUGGGUAGGGGAGCGUUCUGUAAGCCUGUGAAGGUGGCCUGUGAGGGUUGCUGGAGGUAUCAGAAGUGCGAAUGCUGACAUAAGUAACGAUAAAGCGGGUGAAAAGCCCGCUCGCCGGAAGACCAAGGGUUCCUGUCCAACGUUAAUCGGGGCAGGGUGAGUCGACCCCUAAGGCGAGGCCGAAAGGCGUAGUCGAUGGGAAACGGGUUAAUAUUCCCGUACUUGGUGUUACUGCGAAGGGGGGACGGAGAAGGCUAUGUUGGCCGGGCGACGGUUGUCCCGGUUUAAGCGUGUAGGUGUGUGUUCCAGGUAAAUCCGGUUCACUUUAACACUGAGGC